GGAAUACCACUGGAAACGGUGAGUAAUACCUUAUACGCCCUUCGGGGGAAAGAUUUAUCGGAAUUGGAUUAGCCCGCGUUAGAUUAGAUAGUUGGUGGGGUAAUGGCCUACCAAGUCUACGAUCUAUAGCUGGUUUGAGAGGAUGAUCAGCAACACUGGGACUGAGACACGGGCCAAACUCCUACGGGAGGCAUCAGNGGGGAAUCUUAGACAAUGGGCGCAAGCCUGAUCUAGCCAUGCCGCGUGAGUGAUGAAGGCCCUAGGGUCGUAAAGCUCUUUCAACUGUGAAGAUAAUGACGGUAGCAGUAGAAGAAACCCCGGCUAACUCCGUGCCAGCAGCCGCGGUAAUACGGAGGGGGUUAGCGUUGUUCGGAAUUACUGGGCGUAAAGCGUACGUAGGCGGAUUAAUAAGUUAGAGGUGAAAUCCCAGGGCUCAACCCUGGAACUGC
This 449-nucleotide ribosomal RNA is filed under the name uncultured Alphaproteobacteria bacterium. RNAcentral describes it as "bacterial SSU rRNA". It matches the Rfam family "Bacterial small subunit ribosomal RNA", at positions 140 to 624 of the family's 1533-position model. Lineage: Bacteria; Pseudomonadati; Pseudomonadota; Alphaproteobacteria. The record is from RNAcentral.